AUUGCAAGAGCCAGGCACUUGAGGGAAGAAAAUAACAUAUUUUUCCAAAUUCCAAAAGCUUUUCUUUAAAUAUUCAGUACUACAGCUUGGAGGACUGAGUAUAAUUUUUUCCUAUAAAUUAAAAAGUUAGAAGAAUGUAGGAUACGACAAAUUCAAUUUCCUACCACACAGGAAGGCGAUCUCAAACUUUCUCAACGAGGACGUGGAGUUUGUGGGGAGAGGAGAGAGAGAGCAAGAUAAAGCAAAGGAGCCCGGGAGAAGAACACAAUAAAUUAUAUUCAAAUGGCAGCCAUGGAGGAAACUUUCCUUCCCUUCCUCAUCAACAAAGCUGAUCGAUGGGCGCUGAAGCCCCAGGGAAGCAGCAUCUGUUGUAACUCAAGGAUUCCUACUCGAGCUGAGGAUGAAAUUAACAGACGCAGAGCAGUUUGCAGCUCAGCAUUUGUUCAAGUCUGGCACAUGCACACAUCAUUAGCAACUAUAUUUGAGAACCAAGAUCAAGGAGGCCAAGCAAGCAGCAGACGUGGUCCUGCCUUCACGGAGAGCUUGGGAUCUAGGCAGCUGCAGGCAGAUGGUGCAUGGCAGGAGAGGUGAGUGAGGCAUGCCUGGACACACUCACACUCAAGAGGAUGUAUCUCACCCUUGAUUCGGCCUUGCAACCACAGACAGUUAUUGGCCACUAAUUCACUGCAAGACAACAAGGAAGGCCAACAUGGAAAACAGAGAAAGAUAUGGAAGCCUGGGUCCUGCCUUCAAGGUGCUUAUGAUACAUGAGAGAUGAGACAGAGAUGCAGGGGAAACAUCACAAUCAAAAUAUAGUAGAGGAGGAGGAUCCAAGAUAGCACUGUGAGUAGUCCUCUUUG
RNAcentral lists this long non-coding RNA (860 nucleotides) under Equus caballus (horse). RNAcentral describes it as "lncRNA (ENSECAG00000048641.1)". Lineage: Eukaryota; Metazoa; Chordata; Mammalia; Perissodactyla; Equidae. The record is from RNAcentral.